AUACGAACUGUGCGAACGUUAUUCGGAAUCACUGGGCUUAAAGGGUGCGUAGGCGGGUUUAAAGGUCUGAUGUGAAAGCCCACGGCUCAACCGUGGAAUUGCGUUGGAAACCAUAAGCCUUGAGGGAGUCAGAGGUGAGCGGAACUCACGGUGGAGCGGUGAAAUGCGUUGAUAUCGUGAGGAACACCGGUGGCGAAAGCGGCUCACUGGGACUCUUCUGACGCUGAGGCACGAAAGCCAGGGGAGCGAACGGAAUUAGAAACCCCAGUAGUCC
RNAcentral lists this ribosomal RNA (274 nucleotides) under uncultured bacterium. RNAcentral's name for it is "partial 16S ribosomal RNA". It matches the Rfam family "Bacterial small subunit ribosomal RNA", at positions 523 to 796 of the family's 1533-position model. The record is from RNAcentral.